UUAAAAUUUUUAGAAAUUAAACAUCGAAGAUGAAAAGCUGUUUUUUUGAUCCGAUUAGAAAUUUCCCAGCGAGGUAAAGCGCGCACGCUUUUUAUUGAACCUGCACUUUAGGCCCGAAAUUUCUGGUCUUCUGCUCAGUGACCACAGCCUGAACUUGGUGGAACACACUGUCAACAAAUAUAAAAACAUGAACAACAAGCGUAGGAACUUGUGAUCUGUGACUUCCACUUCAUCAGCAACAAGGUUUGGCAACUCGUCUGUGUCAAAACUUCUGGGAGACCGUGUGGAGAGAUGUACAGUCAAACCGGUGAUCCGACUCGUAUCACGAGGCAAACUUCAAGAUGGAUAUUUACUUACAACAACUACGACCCUCUCUUAAAUUACGUAGAACAUUUCUCUUCGCCAGAGUUCAAGGUGAAGAGAGCGGUGUGGGGAUUCGAAAAGUCUGAUUCUGGAACACCACAUUUGCAAGGGUACGUCGAAUUUAUAAGAUCGCACAGACUUUCUUUCACUCGGCGAAUUCUACCUGAAGCUCAUUGGGAAUGCGCAUCAAGCCCUCCAUAUUUCAACUAUUUGCACUGCACAAAAAAUGGAAACUUUGAAACCGUCGGAGAUUGGGAGUCGCUGACGUCUUUGCCCAAGAAGACAAAGAGGACUAAAUUAGCAAGCGCUGGUCCGGUGGUGGCCGGACUGCUUGGCAAAAAUGCGCCCAUCAUUACCCAGCGUGAAAUUUUUUUCAUGGCUUGGAAACACACCAAAACUUCGCCGCUGGCAAUAUCAAUGCUUCAUGAAAUUAUUCGACCAACCACAGCGACAGAUACUAUGGGUUUACGAUGGAGUAGGAAAAGCAGGCAAAACGUGGUUUGCUAAUUAUUUGAAUAUCCUCUACUCUUACGACUUGAUGGAUGGUAUGAAAGGCACAAGAGACGUUUGUGCUCUGUUGUCAGAUGCGCCCACUGGAGUAUGUUUCGACAGCUGUAGAGCCUCGAAAAAACACUUCGACUACGACGUUCUCGAAGCAGUGAAAAAUGGAUACAUGGUAUCCGGAAAGUAUAACGGAUCCAUAAAGAGAUUUCAUCCAUGCCCCGUAGUUGUAUUUUCAAACUCGCUACCCGCUACAAAACAACUUUCGCACUAUCGUUGGGAUAUAGUACAUCUGGGCGAAGGUGACUUCAUUAACCUCGAUAAAUCGCCUAUUUAUUCAACCGCUGACCUUCGUCCAUUUGUUCCUCCACCAAAAAUACCCAUAUUGGCAGAAAAUUUCAACUUGCGACAAUACUUGCUCCGCUCACUGCACAACUCCGAAGUGACAAGUACUUCCACCCUAUGGGGGUGAACGCUACCUUGGCGACUCGGAAGAACAGUGAAGACAGUUCGUCGAGCUGCUGCUAGUCGUACUCCAGUGUUCCGUAGUGAUUACACACAUUCCAAUAGCCAGUUCAUGGUCAAUAGAAGAUUAUUGGUUAAUUUUUGACGUAAUAGAUACGCAAAACUGUUGGUUUCAUAUUACAGUGGCUCGUGUCGUAGAAUCUUACUACAUACGUUGACCCCUUCUCAUGAAUCAUUUGCUGGGAUAGGAAGUAUCCAUUUUCAACAACUGAUGUAACCUUGUUACUGACUUGCUUAUUCUUUAAGAAGACUUAAGCGAAUGCAAUUUAUGCAUUUAGGUUAGUUUGACACUAUUAUUAUUUUAAGUUUACUAAUAGCAACCUAUUCGCUAUUUAAUUACAAUGAAAGAAGAUUGUA
This is a long non-coding RNA of Hyalella azteca, 1746 nucleotides long. RefSeq lists it as uncharacterized. The record is from RefSeq and is a predicted model, not a curated record. Lineage: Eukaryota; Metazoa; Arthropoda; Malacostraca; Amphipoda; Hyalellidae. The transcript has 2 exons.